RNAcentral lists this ribosomal RNA (441 nucleotides) under uncultured Oomycota. Its description in RNAcentral is "LSU rRNA". It matches the Rfam family "Eukaryotic large subunit ribosomal RNA", at positions 165 to 609 of the family's 3401-position model. The record is from RNAcentral. Lineage: Eukaryota; Oomycota.
AGCAUAGCGAUUUGGGAUAAGUCCCUUGGAAAAGGGUAGCAUGGAGGGUGAUACUCCCGUCUUUGCUCAGGUUGUCUGUGUGUACGACACGCUUUCUUUGAGUCGAGUUGUUUGGGAAUACAGCUCAAAGUAGGUGGUAAAUUCCAUCUAAAGCUAAAUAUAGGCGUCAGACCGAUAGCGAACAAGUACCGUGAGGGAAAGAUGAAAAGAACUUUGAAAAGAGAGUUAAAGAGUACCUGAAACUGUUGAAAGGGAACCGUAUCGUUUCCAGUGUUUUAUCCUGUGCAUAUUUCAUUAGCGGAGCAAUUUGCUGGUGCCCUGUGCAUGGGUGUGACGUCAGAGUCAGUUUGUAUGCUGCGGGAGAUGGUCAGUGAGGAGGUGCGUCACUUCGGUGAAAGUUAUAUCUCGCUGUCUAGUAGCCGUGGUUGAGACUGAGGUGCC